AGUGAACGCUGGCGGUAGGCCUAACACAUGCAAGUCGAACGGCAGCACAGUAAGAGCUUGCUCUUACGGGUGGCGAGUGGCGGACGGGUGAGGAAUACAUCGGAAUCUACUUUUUCGUGGGGGAUAACGUAGGGAAACUUACGCUAAUACCGCAUACGACCUACGGGUGAAAGCAGGGGAUCUUCGGACCUUGCGCGAUUGAAUGAGCCGAUGUCGGAUUAACUAGUUGGCGGGGUAAAGGCCCACCAAGGCGACGAUCCGUAGCUGGUCUGAGAGGAUGAUCAGCCACACUGGAACUGAGACACGGUCCAGACUCCUACGGGAGGCAGCAGUGGGGAAUAUUGGACAAUGGGCGCAAGCCUGAUCCAGCCAUACCGCGUGGGUGAAGAAGGCCUUCGGGUUGUAAAGCCCUUUUGUUAGGAAAGAAAAGCAGCAGGUUAAUACCCCGCUGUUCUGACGGUACCCAAAGAAUAAGCACCGGCUAACUUCGUG
This 492-nucleotide ribosomal RNA is filed under the name uncultured bacterium. RNAcentral describes it as "partial 16S ribosomal RNA". It matches the Rfam family "Bacterial small subunit ribosomal RNA", at positions 29 to 507 of the family's 1533-position model. The record is from RNAcentral.